RNAcentral lists this ribosomal RNA (345 nucleotides) under uncultured bacterium. RNAcentral describes it as "bacterial SSU rRNA". It matches the Rfam family "Bacterial small subunit ribosomal RNA", at positions 917 to 1269 of the family's 1533-position model. The record is from RNAcentral.
GGGCCCGCACAAGCGGUGGAGCAUGUGGUUUAAUUCGAUGCAACGCGAAGAACCUUACCAGGGCUUGACAUACUACAGAUUCUUUUGAGAAAGAGAAGUGCCUUCGGGAAUGUAGAUACAGGUGGUGCAUGGCUGUCGUCAGCUCGUGUCGUGAGAUGUUGGUUAAGUCCCGCAACGAGCGCAACCCUUAUUUUAGUUACCAACUCGUUGGGUUUUUUAGAAAGACUGCCGGUGACAAACCGGAGGAAGGUGAGGAUGACGUCAAGUCAGCAUGCCCCUUAUGUCCUGGGCUACACACGUGCUACAAUGGUUAAGACAAGAGAUGCAAAUCUGUGAAGACUAGCU